CAAGGUUGUGGAUAUUGG
This 18-nucleotide unclassified non-coding RNA is filed under the name Mus musculus (house mouse). RNAcentral's name for it is "oocyte_clustered_small_RNA3662". Lineage: Eukaryota; Metazoa; Chordata; Mammalia; Rodentia; Muridae. The record is from RNAcentral.